CCUACGGGAGGCAGCCGUGAGGAAUAUUGGUCAAUUGACUAUAGUCUUAACCAGCCAAGUAUCGUGAAGGAUGACUGCCCUAUGGGUUGUAAACUUCUUUUAUAAAGGAAUAAAACGAGGCACGUGUGCCUUUUUGCAUGUACUUUAUGAAUAAGGAUCGGCUAACUCCGUGCCAGCAGCCGCGGUAAUACGGAGGAUCCGAGCGUUAUCCGGAUUGAUUGGGUUUAGAGGGAGCGUAGAUGGGUUGUUAAGUCAGUUGUGAAAGUUUGCGGCUCAACCGUAAAAUUGCAAUUGAUACUGGCAGUCUUGAGUACAGUUGAGGUAAGCGGAAUUCGUGGUGUAGCGGUGAAAUGCUUAGAUAUCACGAAGAACCCCGAUUGCGAAGGCAGCUUACUAAACUGUGACUGACAUUGAUGCUCGAAAGUGUGGGUAUCAAACAGGAUUAGAUACCCCUGUAGUC
This 460-nucleotide ribosomal RNA is filed under the name uncultured bacterium. RNAcentral describes it as "partial 16S ribosomal RNA". It matches the Rfam family "Bacterial small subunit ribosomal RNA", at positions 338 to 795 of the family's 1533-position model. The record is from RNAcentral.